This 289-nucleotide long non-coding RNA is filed under the name Citrus maxima (pomelo). RNAcentral describes it as "long non-coding RNA (CMAX_LNC002879)". Lineage: Eukaryota; Viridiplantae; Streptophyta; Magnoliopsida; Sapindales; Rutaceae. The record is from RNAcentral.
CUUGAGAAGAUUUCAUAAAGGAUGUCCAGCGCGAAAGUUAAUGGAAGUAUAGUAAUUUGUAAAUGUGUACAUUAUAAAGCCAUCUUGUCCUUAGUUGAGAUCCCCUUUUCAGAAACUACCUCCUAAAUAACGGGCGGUUUCAUAUUGAAAUACUUAACAUAUCCUUUGAUUUAUGUCUACCCACAUAUCCUUUGAUUUAUGUCUACCCCCUUGAUGAAGCAUUGAAACCAUCAUAUCACAAAGUAAGCUGUGUUCCAUGGCAUUUGUUUUGUUUUUCAAAAAUAUGACU